CAUGCAUUUCGGCCUCCUACGUAAGGAUGGCUCGUCGUCUGUGAUGUCGCUCGUUGCCAAGGGGUUGAUUUUAAGAAUGCAGCAUCAGUCACUUUCUCCAAAAAGCCUGGACUCCUGUUGUUUGGAAAGAACAUUAGAGAACACAAACUCCGUACUCUUGGGCUGACACUGCUUUUAGGUGCUUUUGGUGAACAGAGGUUAUAUUGCACAUCCUGACUGAGAAAGAAAACAAUCUGAGUAACCAAUUUCAAUAUACAGAUUAAAAGGCAUUGGAGGUCUCUGAAUCUAAUAAGGUCUGUUUCAUUUUAUUUAAAAAAGAUUUUU
Long non-coding RNA from Leopardus geoffroyi (Geoffroy's cat), 324 nucleotides. RefSeq lists it as uncharacterized. The transcript is spliced from 3 exons. NCBI's taxonomy places the organism in Eukaryota, Metazoa, Chordata, Mammalia, Carnivora, Felidae. The record is from RefSeq and is a predicted model, not a curated record.